UAUGAGAUGACAUGCUUCUUUAUAUCCCCAUAUGGAUUAGGCUGUUAUGGAAUGUAAGGAAGUGUGUGGUUUCGGG
Molecule: non-coding RNA, 76 nt
Organism: Cathartes aura (turkey vulture)
Lineage: Eukaryota; Metazoa; Chordata; Aves; Accipitriformes; Cathartidae
Source: Rfam